This 142-nucleotide unclassified non-coding RNA is filed under the name Staphylococcus aureus subsp. aureus TW20. It matches the Rfam family "T-box leader", at positions 1 to 148 of the family's 219-position model. Rfam says of the family: Uncharged tRNA acts as the effector for transcription antitermination of genes in the T-box leader family. T-boxes are found upstream of many aminoacyl-tRNA synthetase genes and some amino acid biosynthetic genes usually in Gram-positive bacteria. The anticodon of a specific tRNA base pairs to a specifier sequence within the T-box motif, and the NCCA acceptor tail of the tRNA base pairs to a conserved bulge in the T-box antiterminator hairpin. Lineage: Bacteria; Bacillati; Bacillota; Bacilli; Caryophanales; Staphylococcaceae. The record is from RNAcentral.
GUAAACACAAUAAAGAGGAAAGUAAAACACACCCUGCUUAUACAGAGAGUCUUUAGUAGCUGAGAGAAGAUUUUGAAAGCGUGUUUGAAAAUGGCCUUGGAGUGUUGAUGCCAAUAUGAGGUGUCUACGGGUUCGCCCGUUA